GAUGAACGCUGGCGGCGUGCCUAACACAUGCAAGUCGAGCGAACCGAUGGGGAGCUUGCUCCUACGACGUUAGCGGCGGACGGGUGCGUCACACGUGGAUGACCUACCUCUACGACUGGGAUAACUACGGGAAACAGGAGCUAAUACCGGAUGAUAUAUUGCACCGCGUUGUUCAAUAGUGAAAGUAGGUUUUGCUGACACUUAUAGAUGACUCCGCGCCGCAUCAGCUAGUUGGUAAGGUAGCGGCUUACCAAGGCAACGAUGCGUAGCCGCCCUCAGAGGGUGGUCGGACAGCCUGGAACAGAGACAGGUCCCAGACUCUUGCGCGAGGCAGCAGCAGAGAAUCCUCCGCGAGGCGCGAGUGCCGGACAGAGCAAAGUCGCGUGAGUGAUGAUGGUGUUCUGAUCGGUGAGCGCUGUUAGUAGGAGAGUACAAAUGUUUAAUUAACCGUGCUGAUCUUGACGGUACCGGAACAAUAAGCCACGGCUAACUACGUG
RNAcentral lists this ribosomal RNA (497 nucleotides) under uncultured bacterium. Its description in RNAcentral is "partial 16S ribosomal RNA". It matches the Rfam family "Bacterial small subunit ribosomal RNA", at positions 28 to 507 of the family's 1533-position model. The record is from RNAcentral.